AGUUGUCGGUGAGAACAUCUUGAUUGACCAGUAAAGAAACUCCAGAGAUGAAGCAACAAUAGUGUCCGAGAGAAUCAUCUGCGUCUACUUCAAGAGAUGGCUCCAAUUUACCGCACAGCAUGGUAGCAAAUUCUGGGCUCUUAAUUCUCCAGAAGAAAUGCUCUGCAGCGCUUGAUCUUUAUGUAGGCGAGAGUGUGUUCAUGCUGGAAGGAUGUCACUGUUACAACACUACCGUCUCAGCAUUUGAAGCUGUGGAUCAUCAAAGUGUCCACCUUCAAUGUCACAGCUCGAUGGACUUCCACCACCAACGUUUAGCAUGCGCCAGAGUGCUAGAACUCAAACGAAACUGUUCCUCUUUCACUUCAGCUGACGAACUGUUUGACUUCAGAUUUGGAGCCCACAAGAAGUCCCUAAAGGUGUUGUAAUGGAACUCUUUCAUGUUUCUGAUGAGUGCAGAUAAAAUUUCAGAUGGGAGAUGCGGGUAUCAAUUAGAACAAAUCGAAACCAGAGUCGUGUCAGAUUAGAAGCUCAUUGUACAGAUGAUUGAAUUAGCAAAACAAAUGAGGAAAAAGCAGUUCCAAGUCUCACCGACAGUGGUGGACUAUCUCCUGCAUUAAUCCUUUCAAAGACCAUUAUUACUCCUCUGAAUCAGCCAGAAUCUUGCCAAGCCCAGAAUCUCCUUUCUAAGAAUUUACAGUGGAAGAAGAAAGAAAGCAGUAGGCAGUAGCAGUAUUACUCAAAUUCAAUCCCCUGAUGCAAUAAAGGUGCCACAAAGGACUAAAGGUAGCUGCAACACAUGACAGCAAUCCAACUUGUACUUAUCUGCAUGAUAGAUCCAGUGCCACAAGGCAUGGGAAUUUUACAUGGCUACAAGAUUGAUUUGGGGAUGAAGUGCAAGGAUGUCAAAUUCAGUGAGAUGAAAAGGAGACUUAAACUAAUCUACACUCUUUCAAGUGAGCAUAUGCUAAGCUAUCUGACAUGUAGGAAGCUUAAGUUCAGCUAAAUAAAGAGUGGUCCUUGUGGUUGUGUUCUUCACUCAGGGAGUGGUCCUUGUAGUCAUGUUCUUCACUCAACGGGUAGAGAUCACUCCUCUCUUUCUCAAGUUCUACAUCACAGUCCAUCGAUCACCAAAGUUCACACUUGGGACCAUUGCUACAUUCCAUGUCAUUUUUCAUGGUGGUCCAGAUUGUUUUUCCUGUUGCUUUCUUAGAAGUGCUGCUCUCCGUCGAGAACCAAUCAAGCUUUACUUAUGAGUGGAGGCAGCUCAUGACAAGAAAUAGGAAAAACUUAAGGAUACUUUUACUUCCGUAUGUGUAAGACUUCUUACCAAGAACAAAAGCUUUUUGAGCCUAAGAGAAAUGGCCAUGAAGUGAGGUAGCAUUCCUUCCUACUGAGAUCAUAAUCACAGACUGAUGAAAGAUUUCUGCUUUCCUUGUUUGGGUUUAGAAUUCUAGUUCGACGGUUGGCUCCACCUAUCAUGAUUGCUAUCAUUGAUACCACAUGUGAAUUCGGGAUGGAUGAGAGGCUCUUCUCUGUUGUCACCAGCAAGAUUGGCACUACUUUGUUGGCUUGGACCCUACGAUGCUACUGAGGUUGGAAGAUGUUUCUUCCAUACUACCUCUACCAACUUUUGUGGAAACUGUUUCAGUAGAAUGUUAGAGGUUAUAUAAAGAGAGGUAGAGCUGGGAGGAGAUGAAUAUCCAAUACAGGCCUUCAAACCAAGGGCAAUGGAGUCUCCAGCUUCAGAGUUGCUUGCCGGAGUGAUGAGCAUUUGGAAGAUGGGUUGUUCAGGGUGGAGAAGCAGGGCACGUGCAUCCAUAGCACAUAUUCCUGCUCGCAAAAUGAAGAGUUGUGCCUGUCUUCAUGUGCUCAUCUUCUCCACCAUGCACAACCAAUCUUAUAACUACGAGAAUGAGUUGGUCUGCAGGAUUGGCAAACUUGAAGUCACAGUUGGUCGCUUCACCAUUGCAACCAUGAUCUCUUGUUCAAAUCCCAGUCUCUGUAGGUAAGAACUACUAAACUUUGCUUAGAAAGAAAGAGUAGGAGUCUCAUAUGCAUCUCAUUCACAAUCUGAUUUUUUUUUUUUUUUU
This is a long non-coding RNA of Musa acuminata subsp. malaccensis (wild Malaysian banana), 2090 nucleotides long. RefSeq lists it as uncharacterized. NCBI's taxonomy places the organism in Eukaryota, Viridiplantae, Streptophyta, Magnoliopsida, Zingiberales, Musaceae. The record is from RefSeq and is a predicted model, not a curated record.